This 497-nucleotide ribosomal RNA is filed under the name uncultured bacterium. Its description in RNAcentral is "partial 16S ribosomal RNA". It matches the Rfam family "Bacterial small subunit ribosomal RNA", at positions 28 to 507 of the family's 1533-position model. The record is from RNAcentral.
GAUGAACGCUGGCGGCGCGCCUAAUACAUGCCAGUCGAGCGAACAGACGAGGAGCUUGCUCCUCUGACGUUAGCGGCGGACGGGUGAGUAACACGUGGAUAACUUACCUAUAAGACUGGGAUAACUUCGGGAAACCGGAGCUAAUACCGGAUAACAUGUUGAACCGCAUGGUUCAACAGUGAAAGACGGUUUUGCUGUCACUUAUAGAUGGAUCCGCGUCGCAUUAGCUAGUUGGUAAGGUAACGGCUUACCAAGGCAACGAUGCGUAGCCGACCUGAGAGGGUGAUCGGCCACACUGGAACUGAGACACGGUCCAGACUCCUACGGGAGGCAGCAGUAGGGAAUCUUCCGCAAUGGGCGAAAGCCUGACGGAGCAACGCCGCGUGAGUGAAGAAGGUCUUCGGAUCGUAAAACUCUGUUAUUAGGGAAGAACAAAUGUGUAAGUAACUAUGCACGUCUUGACGGUACCUAAUCAGAAAGCCACGGCUAACUACGUG